RNAcentral lists this ribosomal RNA (811 nucleotides) under uncultured bacterium. RNAcentral's name for it is "bacterial SSU rRNA". It matches the Rfam family "Bacterial small subunit ribosomal RNA", at positions 8 to 796 of the family's 1533-position model. The record is from RNAcentral.
AGAGUUUGAUCAUGGCUCAGAGCGAACGUUAGCGGCGCGCCUAACACAUGCAAGUCGCACGAGAAAGGGCUUCGGCCCCGGUAAAGUGGCGCACGGGUGCGUAACACGUAGGCAAUCUUCCCUUAGGCGGGGGAUAACGUUUCGAAAGAGACGCUAAUACCGCAUGAGACCACGGACGCUUCGGCGACUGCGGUCAAAGCUGGCCUCUUCAUGAAAGCCAGCACCUAAGGACGAGCCUGCGGCCCAUCAUGUUAGUUGGUAGGGUAAUGGCCUACCAAGGCGAAGACGGGUAGCUGGUCUGAGAGGAUGAUCAGCCACACUGGCACUGAAACACGGGCCAGACUCCUACGGGAGGCAGCAGUGGGGAAUAUUGGACAAUGGGCGCAAGCCUGAUCCAGCGACGCCGCGUGAGUGAUGAAGGCCUUCGGGUUGUAAAGCUCUGUUGAGGGAGAAGAAAACAGUUGGCGCGAAUAGCUCCAGCUCUUGACGGUAUCCCUUUAGAAAGCACCGGCUAACUCUGUGCCAGCAGCCGCGGUAAGACAGAGGGUGCAAACGUUGCUCGGAAUUACUGGGCGUAAAGCGCGUGUAGGCGGACUGAUAAGUCGGACGUGAAAGCCCUGGGCUCAACCCAGGAACUGCAUCCGAAACUGUCAGCCUGGAGUGGUGGAGAGGGAAGCAGAAUUCCUGGUGUAGAGGUGAAAUUCGUAGAUAUCAGGAGGAACACCGGUGGCGAAGGCGGCUUCCUGGACACUUACUGACGCUGAGACGCGAAAGCGUGGGGAGCAAACAGGAUUAGAUACCCUAGUAGUCC